Molecule: long non-coding RNA, 1764 nt
Organism: Carya illinoinensis
Lineage: Eukaryota; Viridiplantae; Streptophyta; Magnoliopsida; Fagales; Juglandaceae
Exons: 2
Source: RefSeq, a predicted model, not a curated record
AAAUUGAUAAUUUCCUUCAAAUAUGAAGGACUACUGCACACUCAUCUUCCUGUUAUUUUACUCAGUUUUAAUUCUCAUUACCGAACAGCUUUCCCAUUUGCCUCUUCAUUUUCCUCCCGCGUUUUCUCUCCCCCUCUCUCUUUUUCAUUUCUCGCACGAAACAGCACACGGAUAUCAUCAAUCCACCGAAACAACACUUGGAUUCUUCACAAGGAUCACUCUGAUCUGGACCGAUUUUCAGACGAGCUUCUUCUCCAAGGCUGGCCGUAAGUUUUCUCUUCCCCUUUCUCUCUUUCUCUCGUUUUCAAGCUAUUUAUCCUUCUUCGUUCCUUCGAUUCUUGGAGCAGGUUCAUCUUGGGUUUUGUAUAGCGCAACAUAAGAACCAACGACGAGCUGUUUACACACGCUCCAACGACCAGCGGCCUCACCGAGGUAGUUUCAGAGAUGGUCACGUCGUUUCCCCCAAUUUCGUCCAUCUUCUUCUAACGUCAUCGGGCUUUCCACAGCUCCGAUUAGACCCCCCACAAACACCAGAGGUUCUGUCAGCUCGAUUGAAGCGGCGGUGGUUUCAUCUCUUCUGAGGAGUUCAUGUUCGUUCCUGAAUUCGCCGUCAACCCUCUCUCCCAGAGAUUGUUGUGGAUGUUGGACGGAUUGAACUUUAAGGAAUUCGUGGCAUUCUUGUCCGCAUUCAGUCCCCGUGCGACUUUACAACAGAAAAUUGAGUGUAAUGACUCUUUAGUUUUUGUGAUGUCAUGUUUCUAGAAAUUAUCUUCUCUGAAUUUUCACCUAUUGGGGUGAUGGCGUCUCUUUGUUCCUAGUUAUUUUUAGAGUUUAUGAUUCGGAUGGCAAUGGAGGGGUUGGGUUCUUUUUUUGUUCAGGGGAGGAUCCAUUUGAGUUAGAUCUCAUUAGAGUAAUAAAAUAUCACCUGUUCUGUAAAUCUAUUAGGGUGAGAAAUAAGGUUUAAAAUUUCUAAUAGAAAUUGAAUAAAAUCAAUUGUGCAGCUGAAUAUCUUGUUUUGCAUGUGUGGUUUUGUUGAUGUCUGGUACAGCAAGUUCUGACCCAAGUCCUUGAGGAAGCAGGCUACACAAAGGAUUCUUUGUUAGUUUUGUCGGACUUCAUGAAGGUAUUGUGUCGCUUUAUUUUGAAUAUAAUCCUUUCUAUGUGAACUUUCAUCAUUUUCUAUUUCCAAAUAGUUUGCUUUAAUUUGAUGAAAUACAUCUCACGUGAUUAGACUCCAAAAAAACAAUUACAUAUAGUUGCCCUUCUGCUUCAUUAUUUAAGCAAAUUCUAUUCUUUUGAAGGAAAAAUUUUUCCUGCUGCCUGCAGAUUCUUGGCAAUUCUGAUUUUAAGAUUGGGGUUGGAAAAAGUUUGCGUGAUAAUUAUGAUUUUAAGCUUUGCUUGUUCUGAAAUAGGACCUUAUGCAAUUAGUUGUUUUGCCGCCUCUGUUUGAGUGUAAGAGUUUUUGCAGAAAUGAAGAGCUUUUAACUUCUGCAAUUAUCGCUCUGAACAAUUGAAGUUUCAGUGCAGCUUGAAGAGAUAAAAAAAAAAAAAAAUAUGAGCAAGUUGGAAGAACACAGCGAUGGGCAACAGCAACAAAGAUGGAUUUUUGACUUGAGGCUAUAUUUUUUAACUUAAGAAGCUGUAUUUUUUAACUUAAGAAGCUGUAUUUGUGAAGUUUAUUUGUGUAGCGAUCAAAAACUCUGAUUUGUCUAGCUUCCAGGAACUUUGUUGAUCAUACAGGGCAUAUAAUUAUUUGUGAUGCAA